RNAcentral lists this ribosomal RNA (1152 nucleotides) under human gut metagenome. RNAcentral describes it as "bacterial LSU rRNA". It matches the Rfam family "Bacterial large subunit ribosomal RNA", at positions 808 to 1984 of the family's 2925-position model. The record is from RNAcentral.
GGUGUGGAUAGGGGAGAAAUUCCAAUCGAACCCGGAGAUAGCUGGUUCUCCUCGAAAUAGCUUUAGGGCUAGCCUCGUAUUAGUUUAGCGGAGGUAGAGCACUGAAUUUCCUAGGGGGCGUCAAAGUCUACCGAAGAAUAUCAAACUCCGAAUGCCGCAUAAAUGAUGUACGGGAGUCAGACUGCACGAGAUAAGUUGGGUAGUCAAAAGGGAAAGAGCCCAGACCUACAGCUAAGGUCCCAAAGUGUGUGUUAAGUGGAAAAGGAUGUGGGAUUUCGAAGACAACUAGGAUGUUGGCUCAGAAGCAGCCACACAUUCAAAGAGUGCGUAAUAGCUCACUAGUCGAGAGGUCCUGCGCCGAAAAUGUCCGGGGCUGAAACACAACACCGAAGCUUAGGAAUGUAGUAAUACAUUGGUAGAGGAGCAUUCUUAAAGGAAUGAAGCAGUACCGAUAAGGAGCUGUGGACUUUUAAGAAGAGAGAAUGCCGGAAUGAGUAGCGAGAUGGAGGUGGGAAUCCUCCAGGCCGAAUAUCCAAGGUUUCCAGAGUAAAGCUGAUCUGCUCUGGGUAAGUCGGGGCCUAAGGUAAGGCUGAGAAGCGUAGCCGAUGGACAACAGGUUGAGAUUCCUGUACCGCGUAUCAUCAGAACUGUGGGGACACAGAAGGACAGCACAUCCCGGGAAUGGAAAGACCGGGGCAAGCAGGGUAGGAGUUAAGCUGGCAAAUCCGCUUAACAAUCCGAAGCUGUGAUGCGGAGCGAAUUUAAGUAGUGAAGUGUGCGAUUCCGGCUGUCAAGAAAAGCCGCUAUUGUGUGAUACGUGCCCGUACCGUAAACCGACACAGGUAGAUGAGGAGAGAAUCCUAAGGCCGGCGGGAGAAGCAUUGUUAAGGAACUCGGCAAAAUGACCCUGUAACUUCGGGAGAAAGGGUGCCUGGGAAACCAGGCCGCAGAGAAUAGGCUCAAGCAACUGUUUAGCAAAAACACAGGUCUAUGCAAAACCGUAAGGUGAGGUAUAUGGGCUGACGCCUGCCCGGUGCUGGAAGGUUAAGAGGAGGGGUUAGCGCAAGCGAAGCUCUGAAUUGAAGCCCCAGUAAACGGCGGCCGUAACUAUAACGGUCCUAAGGUAGCGAAAUUCCUUGUCGGGUAAGUUCC